This 253-nucleotide ribosomal RNA is filed under the name uncultured bacterium. RNAcentral's name for it is "partial 16S ribosomal RNA". It matches the Rfam family "Bacterial small subunit ribosomal RNA", at positions 524 to 776 of the family's 1533-position model. The record is from RNAcentral.
UACGUAGGGGGCAAGCGUUGUCCGGAAUCACUGGGCGUAAAGCGCGUGUAGGCGGCUCGAUAAGUCUGCUGUGAAAGUUCAGGGCUCAACCCUGAAAUGCCGGUGGAAACUGUCGGGCUAGAGUCCGGAAGAGGCGAGUGGAAUUCCUGGUGUAGCGGUGAAAUGCGCAGAUAUCAGGAGGAACACCGAUGGCGAAGGCAGCUCGCUGGGACGGUACUGACGCUGAGGCGCGAAAGCGUGGGGAGCAAACAGG